AUCUCUGAGCACUGGAUCACUCGGUUCAUGCAUCGAUGAAGAAUGCAGCUUGCUGCAAGAACUAAUGUGAAUUGCAGGACACAUUGAUCACUGACACUUCGAAUGCACAUUGCGGUCCCAAGUUACUCUGGGGGCUAUGCCUGUCUGAGGGAGA
Molecule: ribosomal RNA, 154 nt
Organism: Protopterus annectens (West African lungfish)
Lineage: Eukaryota; Metazoa; Chordata; Ceratodontiformes; Protopteridae
Product: 5.8S ribosomal RNA
Exons: 1
Source: RefSeq, a predicted model, not a curated record